This is a long non-coding RNA of Megalopta genalis, 1100 nucleotides long. RefSeq lists it as uncharacterized. The record is from RefSeq and is a predicted model, not a curated record. NCBI's taxonomy places the organism in Eukaryota, Metazoa, Arthropoda, Insecta, Hymenoptera, Halictidae.
CUGUAUUAUAAUCGUGGGGUACGACAUUGCCGGUUUCAUUGUUGCCACCGGUUCAUUAAAAGAACAAAAAAGAUAACAAUGCGUUCGUAUAACUGCAAAGCAGAUCCGGUUAUUUGUUAAUCGCGUAUAAAUCAACGGAGCAAUAGAUAAAAAAACAGUUUAUGCUAAUGGAUAAGAGCGGUAUCAAAACGGACGCGUUAUUACUGAGAUGGACGGAACGGAGCCUGGCUUCUUCGAGGUAUUACGAUCGCGAUUAAUCCGUCUGAAUAUCUUUUUUCAUUUUACGAUCGUAUAAUCGACGCCGACGAAGAAGACGCGCGUAAUAAUGUAAUUCUGUUUUAGCGAAUUCGUUGCCGCGAACCAGCGACGACAGGCUGCCGGUUAGACCGUGACGUCAUCAAUGUUCGGACUGCGCUUCAUACUCGAUCGACUUUUCGGAUCUACUGUCGCGCCUCCGGCGGUGGAGGCUUCACUUACGACGCGCGUCUCCGCUACCAGUCGAUCUUCUCCCACUUACCGCGCCCUCGUAGGAUCACCGUGACGUCACCAAUGCUCGGAGUGCACUUCGAGCUCGUUUGGCUUUUCGAAUCUACUCUCGCGUCUCCGGCGGCGGAGGCUCCACUUACGACGCGCGUCUGCGCUAACAGUCGAUCUUCUCCCACUUACCGCGCCUCUUGCAAGGAUCCGAACGUCGGUGACGUCACGGUUUAGCCAGCCGCCCGGCAGCUCUUCCGCGAAACAGACAUAUCGCCGUCUAAGAAACGAUCAACAUCACAAUUUAUACGGCACGGAACGACAACAAUUGGGGCCCGAAAAUAUGUACAAAAAAAGAUGACGAGUGCCGGCGGCGUUCGCGAAAGGCCAUAAUCGCCGGAGGGUUAAGUUUACAUUGGGCACAGUUGACUUACGUAUAGCCGGCUAAUACGUUCAACAAAGUGGACUUUCCGGCGCCGGAGGGUCCCAUAAUGGCGACCAGUUCGCCAGCCUUGAAUUCCCCGUUGACGCCAUGGAGAAUUUCUUUGUACGCUGCAACAAGAAAAACAAUGAAAUUGUAAUUACAAUAGCAGCAACGUGCAUAUAAAAGUCGCGACCAAAAUACA